Molecule: ribosomal RNA, 477 nt
Filed under: uncultured bacterium
Lineage: Bacteria
Description: bacterial SSU rRNA
Rfam family: Bacterial small subunit ribosomal RNA
Source: RNAcentral
AGGACGAACGCUGGCGGCGUGCCUAACACAUGCAAGUCGAACGGACGAGGGGAGCUUGCUCCCCAAGUUAGUGGCGGACGGGUGAGUAACACGUGAGCAACCUGCCCUUCGGAGGGGGACAACAGCUGGAAACGGCUGCUAAUACCGCGUGACACAGCGGGGAGGCAUCUCUCUGCUGUCAAAGAUUUAUCGCCGAAGGAUGGGCUCGCGUCUGAUUAGAUAGUUGGUGAGGUAACGGCCCACCAAGUCUACGAUCAGUAGCCGGACUGAGAGGUUGAACGGCCACAUUGGGACUGAGAUACGGCCCAGACUCCUACGGGAGGCAGCAGUGGGGAAUAUUGGGCAAAAUGGGGGCAACCCUGACCCAGCAACGCCGCGUGAAGGAAGAAGGCUUUCGGGUUGUAAACUUCUUUGACGAGGGACGAUAGUGACGGUACCUCGAAAACAAGCCGCGGCUAACUACGUGCCAGCCGCCGC